UACGUAGGUGGCAAGCGUUGUCCGGAUUUAUUGGGCUUAAAGGGUGCGUAGGCGGUCUUUUAAGUCAGUGCUGAAAUACUCCAGCUUAACUGGAGGGGUGGCAUUGAUACUGGGAGACUUGAGUGUAGUCGAGGUAGGCGGAAUUGACGGUGUAGCGGUGAAAUGCUUAGAUAUCGUCAAGAACACCGAUAGUGAAGACAGCUUACUAGGCUACAACUGACGCUGAGGCGCGAAAGUGUGGGGAUCAAACAGG
RNAcentral lists this ribosomal RNA (253 nucleotides) under uncultured bacterium. RNAcentral describes it as "partial 16S ribosomal RNA". It matches the Rfam family "Bacterial small subunit ribosomal RNA", at positions 524 to 776 of the family's 1533-position model. The record is from RNAcentral.